AAAAGCUGGAGUAACUCAGCGGAUCAGACGGCAUCUCUGGAGAAAAGGAAUAGCUACAAAAUCUCACCUGCAACCAAACCUGACGAUAUUGUGGCAACAACUGGAGUCUUCGUCUUAGAAUUGAUGCGGGCUAAAACUUUGAAAAGCAACCCAUCUUCAGCCAUAGCAUAGAUUACGCGAGGCAUGGGGAAAAUGGAACCAAGCAGACUGAAUGAAGAGGAAAGACAUGCACAAUGCUGCAAGUCAGAGUCACACCAGGUUUUCCAUGACCACAUUUCACAGGAUGCAAUGCCAUAAGAAGAAUGUAGUUGUGCUGGAGAAAAUGCAAAGGAAAUUCACUGGAAUGGUGCCUGGAUUGGAGGGCUUUUGUUAUGAGGAUUGAAUAGACUGGGCUUGUUUACCCUGGGGUGAAUGAGCCAGAGGAAUACCCUGUUAGUUGUAUAUUAAAUAAAAUGAGGCAUAGAUAGGGUAAAUAGUCUUCUCAUAGUAAGGAUAUCAAAAACAAGAUGAAAGCUGUCGGGGGAUCUGAGGGGAAAAAUGUAUUCAUACAGUGUUUGAUAUCUGAAAUGUGCUACCAGAGGAGGUGGUGGUAUUAGACGCAAUAACAAUGUUUAAGAGCCAUUUAUAUAGGCACUUAAAUGGGCAAAACAUAGCAGGAUAUGGACUCCCCGCAGGAAAAUGGCAUUGGUGUAGAUGGGCAAAAAGAUCGGCAUUGACAUUGAGGGCCCCAUUUCUGUUUUGCAUUAUUCAAUGACUCUAUAAGGAGUCUAAUUGGACCAGUGUCUGCGCUAACUCUUUUUUAGACUAGCCCAAAAGUAAUCCUACAAUCUACUCUGCCAUCGUACAUUCCUUUUCAACUAUUUACACAAUUUUCCCUUAAAGGAUUUUUCCAUCAAGUUCCUAUGCCAAAGCCAACAACUGUCAAUCGACAUCCCUCCUUCCUGUCAAUGACCCAUUUUAUUCCUAUUCAGUUGCAUCAAGACUCCUACUAAUUUAAAACAUCCAUUAAAUCUCCUUAAUAAACUUACCU
Molecule: long non-coding RNA, 1030 nt
Organism: Amblyraja radiata (thorny skate)
Lineage: Eukaryota; Metazoa; Chordata; Chondrichthyes; Rajiformes; Rajidae
Exons: 3
Source: RefSeq, a predicted model, not a curated record